GGGCUGUCCAUGACUGUGGCGCGGUCGCGGUGUCAGCGGCAACGACUCGGCGGCGACCCAUUGUAUUCGGCGGCCAUUGCCCCCGCGGGCAGCAUUUGCUGAACAAUCCCGACUGUGCUGAACAUCUGCUGGAGGCACCGGUUUGAGCUGAUGCCCGUGGGGCAGUAGGCGCUGAUGUGGCGAAGUGACUAAAAGUGCUGCUGAGAACAGUCCUGGAUUGAUGGGAGUGCAGGCACCGUUUCUAAAUGACUGGUCUCCCACCCCCUCUCUCUUUCUCUCCCCCCUGGGAUUCUACACUUUCCCUGGAAUUCUACACAGUGGGAACAGCUUCUCUCUGUGGCUCUGUCCAGCCCACUCAUGAUUGUCCAGGACCCUGGCCUCCAUAAGACUGACCGACUUCCAGACUUUGUCAGAAGAAGUUGCCCCACAACUGUGCCAGAAAAUCAAAGGCAAAAGACCUCCUGGAAUAUAUCCAACCAAGUUGGCAACCUUACAGGGUGUGAUGAUCAAUAUUACACAGCAUCUGGUAUAUUUCUGAAACAAAUAAUCAGCUGUAAGUGACAUUUGACAUUAAACAUACAAAUCACACAGGUCACUCCACAUGGCAUUAAACAUGCAGGUCACUCAAUGUGACAUUUAUCACACCAGUCACUGUGACAUUAAACACACAGGUCACUCUAAAUUUGGUAUGGUCAUUAACUUGACACUAAAAAGGGAAACAUUAAUGUUUGGCAUAAUUCAUGCUGUAUUUAAUAAAUAAAAAAGAAUGCGACCCUAAUAAAAUAAUGCUUUCAUAACUCAAUAAGACCAUAUGACAUAGUAGGCCAUUCAGCCCAUCGAGUCAGCUCCAGCAUUCGACAGGAUUGUGGCUGAUUUGAUAAUCCUCAACUCCACUUUCCUGUCUUUUCCCCUUCCUGAGCCCCACAGCAGGAUGGGAGGGAGAAAACAAUAAGGCGGGUACAAAUUCUACACUGUGAAAUUGGGAAUGCACACAGGGAACUGAGGAGGAUAGGAAGGGAAGAAACUUUAAACUGUUUAGCAAGUUAGGAGCAGGGUCUGAGCAAAAUGCUCAAGAAGGAGAAAGGAGUGGAGGAAGACAGAGGGACAAAAGCCCUCACAGGUCAGCUGGAGAGAAGAAUGUUUCCCCCGUCACUUUAACGGGAUUAAAACAUUCUGUGCCAACUCCCUGUUUAUCCUCUAGUAUCAGUACAGCACCCCUAAUUGUCAUGGUUGUAUAUUUUCUUUACCUAACUAAAAUAUCACAGUAUUAAUGGUUUAAUUGGCUUUACGUUUUGAAAGCUGUGAGAAACAGCAGUCUUUAAUUGAGGUUAUUACGUCAUUGGUGAAUUCGAAAAUGUGACUUUUAGAUUGUUUAAUGGAACAGUUAGGAUCAUUGUCAACAAGAGUUAUACUGGGAAUUGUGGGAAUAUGCAACAGUAAUUGUGCAUGUGUCUUUGAUUGACUUUCAAAAGAGAUUAUGAAAGGAACAACUGAGUUGGAAAUGAUCCAUAGUAAGUUAGCCUACGGUGACCAUUUGUGUGUUUUACAGUUGAAGAAAGAAAGUAGAAAGCUGCAGGAAUUAGUAAAAGAGCUGCAGGAUAAAAAUGCUUACCUAUUGGAAAGCACUAUACCUCAUACUAGGAAAAGGCUGCACAUAGAGCCAACACUGUGACUGGUAAAAGUGGAUGUUCAUGUUGAAAUGGACUUAGAAAAAAAUCAAAACAUGCCCAAUAGAAAUCUGUGCUGGGGCUAUUAUCUUGCAAGACCUUGAGAAUAUUGUUGACAGUGCUUCCCCAAUGUUUCAUCCAUGUGUAGUGAGACACAGCUAGUGUGUAAUGUCACCCAUGAGCCAGAAGGACAAAGGAAUAGGACCCUUAGGCACAGUUAGAGACAGGAUCAACAAAUCUCUUAUCCCCAGUAAAGUUAAAGAAAUUUUUUGAAAACUGGAUUGUAUUCACAGAGAAUUACCGUGGCAGUUACAAGGAGAACAUCCGUUACAUUUGACUGAGAUCAGUGCUCAAGCGAGUAGCCCGAAAGCAUCAUUGUUUCAAAACUUCCAAAUCCUUACAAACUUUAAAAUGUCUUUUUAAGCUGCAGAAAAGAUGUGUGAAACAAUGGUUUAGUCAUUUCUGUCAAUGAUUUGGAUGUGAACAUAGAAGGUAUGGUUAGUAAGUUUGCAGAUGACACCAAAAUUGGAGGUGUG
Non-coding RNA from Chiloscyllium plagiosum (whitespotted bambooshark), 2203 nucleotides. Lineage: Eukaryota; Metazoa; Chordata; Chondrichthyes; Orectolobiformes; Hemiscylliidae. The record is from RefSeq and is a predicted model, not a curated record.